RNAcentral lists this transfer RNA (66 nucleotides) under Apatetica glabra. RNAcentral describes it as "tRNA-Ser". The record is from RNAcentral. Lineage: Eukaryota; Metazoa; Arthropoda; Insecta; Coleoptera; Staphylinidae.
AGUUUAUGAACUUGUAAAGUAUAUAUUUUGAAAAUAUAAAAAAGGGUUAAAAUUCCCUAUAGACUU